This 492-nucleotide ribosomal RNA is filed under the name fungal sp. 231C2. RNAcentral's name for it is "eukaryotic LSU rRNA". The stretch from base 163 to 316 matches the Rfam family "5.8S ribosomal RNA". The record is from RNAcentral. Lineage: Eukaryota; Fungi.
AGUUUUCUAAACUCCCAAACCCAUGUGAACUUACCAUUGUUGCCUCGGCGGAGCCUACCCUGUAGCUACCCUAUAAGGUGGUUACCCUGUAGUGCCCCGCCGGUGGAUUUUCAAACUCUUGUUAUUUAUAGUAAUCUGAGAGUCUUAUUUUAAAUAAGUCAAAACUUUCAACAACGGAUCUCUUGGUUCUGGCAUCGAUGAAGAACGCAGCGAAAUGCGAUAAGUAAUGUGAAUUGCAGAAUUCAGUGAAUCAUCGAAUCUUUGAACGCACAUUGCGCCCAUUAGUAUUCUAGUGGGCAUGCCUGUUCGAGCGUCAUUUCAACCCUUAAGCCUAGCUUAGUGUUGGGAGUCUACGAGUGGGCCAGGCUACCCUGUAGCGUGGUUACCCUGUAGUUCCUGAAAAUCAACGGCGGAUUUACAGUAUCCUCUGAGCGUAGUAAUUCUUUAUCUCGCUUCUGUUUAGGUGCUGUGACUUCGGCCGCUAAACCCCCA